AAAACUCCCUUGACGGUACUUAAUGAAUAAGCCCCGGCUAAUUAUGUGCCAGCAGCCGCGGUAAUACAUAAGGGGCGAGCGUUAUCCGGAAUUAUUGGGCGUAAAGGGUGCGUAGGCGGUUUAAUAAGUCUAUAGUUUAAUUUCAGUGCUUAACGCUGUUGUGCUAUAGAAACUGUUUUACUAGAGUGAGUUAGAGGCAAGCGGAAUUCCAUGUGUAGCGGUAAAAUGCGUAAAUAUAUGGAGGAACACCAGAGGCGUAGGCGGCUUGCUGGGACUUUACUGACGCUGAGGCACGAAAGCGUGGGGAGCAAACAGGAUUAGAUACCCUGGUAGUCCACACCGUAAACGAUGAGUACUAAGUGUCGGGUAAAACCGGUACUGAAGUUAACACAUUAAGUACUCCGCCUGAGUAGUACGUACGCAAGUAUGAAACUUAAAGGAAUUGACGGGACUCCGCACAAGCGGUGGAUCAUGUUGUUUAAUUCGAAGAUACACGAAAAACCUUACCAGGUCUUGACAUUUUCUUGCGAAGUUAUAGAAAUAUAAUGGAGGUUAUCAGGAAAACAGGUGGUGCAUGGUUGUCGUCAGCUCGUGUCGUGAGAUGUUAGGUUAAGUCCUAAAACGAGCGCAACCCUUGUCGUUAAUUGCCAGCAUGUAAUGAUGGGGACUUUAACGAGACUGCCAAUGAAAAAUUGGAGGAAGGUGGGGAUUACGUCAAAUCAUCAUGCCCCUUAUGAUCUGGGCUACAAACGUGAUACAAUGGUUGAUACAAAGAGUAGCUGAAACGCGAGUUCUUAGCCAAUCUCACAAAAUCAAUCUCAGUUCGGA
This 828-nucleotide ribosomal RNA is filed under the name Cassava frogskin disease phytoplasma. RNAcentral's name for it is "bacterial SSU rRNA". It matches the Rfam family "Bacterial small subunit ribosomal RNA", at positions 460 to 1297 of the family's 1533-position model. Lineage: Bacteria; Bacillati; Mycoplasmatota; Mollicutes; Acholeplasmatales; Acholeplasmataceae. The record is from RNAcentral.